GUGGCGGACAACAUUUCGAUAGCGAUGCUAAUACCGCAUACGUCCUACGGGAGAAAGCAGCGGAUCCUUGUGACCUUGCGCUAAUAGAUGAGCCUAAGUCGGAUUAUCUAGUUGGUGGGGUAAAGGCCUACCAAGGCGACGAUCUGUAGCGGGUCUGAGAGGAUGAUCCGCCACACUGGGACUGAGACACGGCCCAGACUCCUACGGGAGGCAGCAGUGGGGAAUAUUGGACAAUGGGCGGAACCCUGAUCCAGCCAUGCCGCGUGUGUGAAGAAGGCCUAUUGGUUGUAAAGCACUUUAAGCGAGGAGGAGGCUACUCUGGUUAAUACCUGGGAUAAGUGGACGUUACUCGCAGAAUAAGCACCGGCUAACUCUGUGCCAGCAGCCGCGGUAAUACAGAGGGUGCGAGCGUUAAUCGGAUUUACUGGGCGUAAAGCGCGCGUAGGUGGUUAAUUAAGUCAAAUGUGAAAUCCCCGAGCUUAACUUGGGAAUUGCAUUCGAUACUGGUUAGCUAGAGUAUGGGAGAGGAUGGUAGAAUUCCAGGUGUAGCGGUGAAAUGCGUAGAGAUCUGGAGGAAUACCGAUGGCGAAGGCAGCCAUCUGGCCUAAUACUGACACUGAGGUGCGAAAGCAUGCGGAGCAAACAGGAUUAGAUACCCUGGUAGUCCAUGCCGUAAACGAUGUCUACUAGCCGUUGGCGCCUUUGAUCCUUUAGUGGCGCAGCUAACGCGAUAAGUAGACCGCCUGGGGAGUACGGUCGCAAGACUAAAACUCAAAUGAAUUGACGGGGGCCCGCACAAGCGGUGGAGCAUGUGGUUUAAUUCGAUGCAACGCGAAGAACCUUACCUGGCCUUGACAUAGUAGAAACUUUCCAGAGAUGGAUUGGUGCCUUCGGGAAUCUACAUACAGGUGCUGCAUGGCUGUCGUCAGCUCGUGUCGUGAGAUGUUGGGUUAAGUCCCGCAACGAGCGCAACCC
RNAcentral lists this ribosomal RNA (975 nucleotides) under Acinetobacter seohaensis. RNAcentral's name for it is "bacterial SSU rRNA". It matches the Rfam family "Bacterial small subunit ribosomal RNA", at positions 136 to 1104 of the family's 1533-position model. The record is from RNAcentral. Lineage: Bacteria; Pseudomonadati; Pseudomonadota; Gammaproteobacteria; Moraxellales; Moraxellaceae.